CAGUGUGGAAAGGAAAGGAGAUUCUACAUCUGGUUAUGUUUCUCAUAAAAAUGUUCCCAGGGGCAGAAGCCUAUCUCUUUUAUAUUAAACAUAUAAAGAACCCUCUUGACUUCUCAUUAGCCCCUUAAAAAAUAUCACGGUGAUUUCCACGAUAUUAAAAAGGCAGAAUUUCAAGGGACAUCGAGUGUCGAGGGGCAGACAGAGAAUGGUGCCUUCACUUGCCUCUGGCCACGAUGGCUGGCUGUUGAUCGAAUUUUGUUUUUAAAUUAUUCAAAUCAGACAUUUAUGGUAAAAUUCAUAUUCAGCACUGACUUGAGGGCACUUGAGUGUUUCAGCCGGUUUUGUCUACCGGUGAAGAAUGCAAUUAAACAGGGUACCUCACUCCCCGAGGGGGGUGGCUGGAAAACAGAAGGUCACCUCCCAGAACUUCCUCAUUUCAUUAGUCUGGAAUUUAAUUUUGACGCUGACCUGCCAAGGAUUAAAAGGUAUGAAGAACCUUGGGUGAAAGGCCACACACCCAUUGAAAUGAUUGAAAGAUCUCCUCCCCUCUUGACCCUCUUAACUUUCUUCUUCCCUUCUGUCCUUAUUCUCUGAGACUCUGCCCUUCAAGGCAGGUCCUGUGGUGUUUCACCAAAGGAGAGAAGUGCUUCCUCAUCUGGGUUUUAGAUCUUCUUUUUUUUUCUGAUAGCUACCUGCUGGGAACAAUUUCAGAUCUGCUCCCAGAAUAUUAGUGAAUUCAUCUCAUCUGUGUUGCUUGUGACCCAGCGAGAUGGCCACAGACACAUUCAUGGUCAGAGGCAUGAGAAAUUCCAGACGUUAAGCAGAGUUGUUCAAAAUCAUCGGAUCGGUGUCCAGGGCCCACGGGGAGGGGUUGUAGCUGGUCCAAUCAUCCACGUUUCUGAAGACGCUGAGCUGAUGAAUCUGAGCACCGCCAGAGACCGGGGAGGGGAGAGGACGCACUUACUCGUGGGUUCCGUCCAGCUGGGGCUCUCCACCAUCUGGUCUGUGUUCCUUAUAAAAUCCUUACUGGUCAAGAUGUCAUUGGAUUGUUU
Vicugna pacos (alpaca) is the source of this 1052-nucleotide non-coding RNA. NCBI's taxonomy places the organism in Eukaryota, Metazoa, Chordata, Mammalia, Artiodactyla, Camelidae. The record is from RefSeq and is a predicted model, not a curated record.